Macaca fascicularis (crab-eating macaque) is the source of this 117-nucleotide unclassified non-coding RNA. It matches the Rfam family "Metazoan signal recognition particle RNA". From Rfam's summary of the family: The signal recognition particle (SRP) is a universally conserved ribonucleoprotein. It is involved in the co-translational targeting of proteins to membranes. The record is from Ensembl. Lineage: Eukaryota; Metazoa; Chordata; Mammalia; Primates; Cercopithecidae.
GCUGGGUGCGGUGGCUCACACCUGUAAUCCCAGCACUUUGGGAGGCUGAGGUGGGUGGAUCACCUGAGGUCGGGAGUUCAAAUCCAGCCUGACCAACAUGGAGAAACCCCAUCUCUA